AACGAACGCUGGCGGCAUGCCUAACACAUGCAAGUCGAACGAGACCUUCGGGUCUAGUGGCGCACGGGUGCGUAACGCGUGGGAACCUGCCCUUAGGUUCGGAAUAACUCCCCGAAAGGGGUGCUAAUACCGGUUAAUGUCUUCGGACCAAAGAUUUAUCGCCUUUGGAUGGGCCCGCGUUGGAUUAGCUAGUUGGUAGGGUAAAAGCCUACCAAGGCGACGAUGCAUAGCUGGUCUGAGAGGAUGAUCAGCCACACUGGGACUGAGACACGGCCCAGACUCCUACGGAGGGCAGCAGUGGGGAAUAUUGGACGAUGGGCGAAAGCCUGAUCCAGCAAUGCCGCGUGAGUGAUGAAGGCCUUAGGGUUGUAAAGCUCUUUGACCCGGGAUGAUAAUGACAGUACCGGGAGAAUAAGCUCCGGCUAACUCCGUG
RNAcentral lists this ribosomal RNA (433 nucleotides) under uncultured bacterium. RNAcentral describes it as "partial 16S ribosomal RNA". It matches the Rfam family "Bacterial small subunit ribosomal RNA", at positions 29 to 507 of the family's 1533-position model. The record is from RNAcentral.